RNAcentral lists this transfer RNA (68 nucleotides) under Idioscopus clypealis. RNAcentral describes it as "tRNA-Tyr". Lineage: Eukaryota; Metazoa; Arthropoda; Insecta; Hemiptera; Cicadellidae. The record is from RNAcentral.
AUUAGAAUGGCUGAAUUAAUAAGCAGUAAAUUGUAAAUUUGCCUAUGAAUAAAUAUAUUCUUCUAAUA